UCCUUAGUGCGUUCUCAUUGUGGCGUGGGUAAGGGGAUAAUCCCCUUCUGUCAUAAGCAGCUGAUAGCGGCAGAAAGCACGAUUUCAGACAAAAAUCCAAUUCUUCACAGCUGGAGCUACAAGCAAAUCGUGAACCUCAGCAAAGGUCCCUUGACCCAGACAUUUUCUCUGCUGUGUCGUGAGAAUGAACAGUACGUCAAUUAGCAGUUAAAGACAGGUACUGUUCUCAUGCCUUUCUGCACUUCUGUUUAAGGUAUCGUUAUGUGCAAGACUGUAGUGAA
This 281-nucleotide long non-coding RNA is filed under the name Anas platyrhynchos (mallard). Its description in RNAcentral is "lncRNA (ENSAPLG00020004873.1)". Lineage: Eukaryota; Metazoa; Chordata; Aves; Anseriformes; Anatidae. The record is from RNAcentral.